GCGCGAAAACUUUACAAUGCUGGCAACAGCGAUAAGGGAACCUCGAGUGCCAGGUUACAAAUCUGGCUGUCGUGAUGCCUAAAAAGCAUUACAUAGCAAGGGCCGGGCAAGACCGGUGCCAGCCGCCGCGGUAACACCGGCGGCUCGAGUGGUAACCGUUAUUAUUGGGUCUAAAGGGUCUGUAGCCGGCCGGAUAAGUCUCUUGGGAAAUCUGCCAGCUCAACUGUCAGGCUUUCAGGAGAUACUGUCUGGCUCGAGGCCGGGAGAGGUGAGAGGUACUUCAGGGGUAGGGGUGAAAUCUUGUAAUCCUUGAAGGACCACCAGUGGCGAAGGCGUCUCACCAGAACGGACCUGACGGCAAGGGACGAAAGCUAGGGGCACGUACCG
RNAcentral lists this ribosomal RNA (387 nucleotides) under uncultured bacterium. RNAcentral describes it as "bacterial SSU rRNA". It matches the Rfam family "Archaeal small subunit ribosomal RNA", at positions 339 to 726 of the family's 1478-position model. The record is from RNAcentral.